UUUCAAAAGUCUCUUAAUACUAAGUGCAACUUUCUUGGUUCUAAAGUCCAAUUAACCCAAGCAUUGGACAAAACAGAAAUGUGCAUGUAAGAGUUCUUGCUAAUUUCAUUUAGCUGUAGAGACAUGCAAGUUACAUGCACGCAGAUGAACUGAGAAAAGGAAGACUUCACAGAGGUGCUUAAUGUGAAUUAAGUAGGCAGUUGCUGUGAAUAAAGGUGGUGAAGCAGAAAGGGAGCACUUUAAGCAGAGGAAGCAGUAGAGGCGUCACUAGACAAUGGACAACUUGGAGGGAAGUGCUUGGAAGGUGGUUAGCAUAUAAUUGAGAGGCACUGGAUGCCACAGUGGUGUGGGUAUAGUGCUCCGUUCCACAGAUCCUCCUGGAACCUGUGAACAUGACAUGGCAAAGGGGAAUUAGGACUACAUAAUCAGCUGACAUUUGAAUAAGGCUAGAUUGCGUGGGCUUCCAAGAGUGUACAUGUGGAAAUGGAAGUUGGAGAGCUCAGAAUGAUGAUAUGAAGAAGACUCAAACUUGCCUUUGCUAGAGGGAGGAAAGGGCUAUGAGCCAAAGAAUGUAGGAAGCCUGUCAGUCUGGAAAAGGCAAGGAAAUGGAUCUGGCCUCCAGCCUCCAGAGAGGAAUGCAGACCUGCCAACACCUUGAAUUUAGUUCAGUGACAUCCAUGCCAGGCCCUGACCUCCAAAACUGAGAUUAUAAAUUUGUGUUAAGCCUCUAGGCUUAAGGUGAUUUGUUAAAGCAGUGAUAGAUACCACACAGUAUAAUGUCUGAACUUACUCUGCAGAUAAAGGGAAUCCUUGUCAGUCCUGAAAUGUUUGCUGUUCACCAUAGUGUGUUGGGCAGAGAAGCAGAAUGGCGAAUGAGACAGACCCACUUGGCCAAGGAGAUGCAGAGAGAGACUGUGUAAACUUCCACUGUGGAUGCAUCUUAUGCCCAUUCUCUCCUAUUUCUUGCAAGAUUCUGACUUUUGAAGAAAAUAAAAACCAAGGGGCAACUUCCCUCCAGCACUGUGAUCACUCUGUUGUCUGACUUAUUGGAAGACUUCAAGCUUACUGAAGUCUGCCUUAAGGUGAGCUGCUGUGUUCCACCGCAUCUCCACACCAUGAUGUCCUUGCUUCACACACACGGCCCCAGAAGAACAGAGCCACAUGACUGUGGACCGAAGCCUC
Molecule: non-coding RNA, 1182 nt
Organism: Castor canadensis (American beaver)
Lineage: Eukaryota; Metazoa; Chordata; Mammalia; Rodentia; Castoridae
Source: RefSeq, a predicted model, not a curated record